Molecule: ribosomal RNA, 254 nt
Filed under: uncultured bacterium
Lineage: Bacteria
Description: partial 16S ribosomal RNA
Rfam family: Bacterial small subunit ribosomal RNA
Source: RNAcentral
CACGUAGGGACCAAGCGUUGUCCGGAUUCAUUGGGCGUAAAGAGCUCGUAGGCGGUUCAGUAAGUCGGGUGUGAAACCUCCAGGCUCAACCUGGAGACGCCACCCGAUACUGCUGUGACUAGAGUCCAGUAGGGGAGCGUGGAAUUCCUGGUGUAGCGGUGAAAUGCGCAGAUAUCAGGAGGAACACCGGUGGCGAAGGCGGUUCUCUGGGCAUGUCCUGACGCUGAGGAGCGAAAGUGUGGGGAGCGAACAGG